This 127-nucleotide small RNA is filed under the name Marmota monax (woodchuck). Lineage: Eukaryota; Metazoa; Chordata; Mammalia; Rodentia; Sciuridae. The record is from RNAcentral.
GCUGGGCGUGGUGGCUCACACCUGUAAUCCCAGCAGUUUGGGAGGCUGAGGCAGGAGGAUUGCAAGUUCAAGAAUAGUCUCAAUAACUUUGUGAGGGCCUCAGCAACAUAGCAAGACCCUGUCUCAA